CUACGAAUACUGGGUUAUCGCCCUGUUUCUACAGGGAGGAAAGUCCGGACAGCACAGAGCAGCGCACCACCUAACGGGUGGGACUUUGGGAAACCAGGGGACAGACAGUGCCACAGAAAAUAACCGCCUUGCUUCGGUAGGGUAAGGGUGAAAAUGUAGCGUAAGAGACUACGUUGGAUAUGGGUAACUAUAUACAGGGGUAAACCUUGCGCGCUGAAAUGCUAAAUAGGCGGAUAAUUGAGGGCGGCUCGCCCGAAGUCCGCGGGUUGGCAGAUACAGGUGCUGCGCGAGCAGUAUCGCAGAUAAAUGAUAACGGCCCUGAUGACCAUCAGGGUGACAGAAUCCGGCUUAUAGGUUGAGUAGUUGU
RNAcentral lists this RNase P RNA (367 nucleotides) under Taibaiella sp. Its description in RNAcentral is "RNase P RNA component class A". It matches the Rfam family "Bacterial RNase P class A". From Rfam's summary of the family: Ribonuclease P (RNase P) is a ubiquitous endoribonuclease, found in archaea, bacteria and eukarya as well as chloroplasts and mitochondria. Its best characterised activity is the generation of mature 5'-ends of tRNAs by cleaving the 5'-leader elements of precursor-tRNAs. The record is from RNAcentral. Lineage: Bacteria; Pseudomonadati; Bacteroidota; Chitinophagia; Chitinophagales; Chitinophagaceae.